RNAcentral lists this ribosomal RNA (497 nucleotides) under uncultured bacterium. RNAcentral's name for it is "partial 16S ribosomal RNA". It matches the Rfam family "Bacterial small subunit ribosomal RNA", at positions 28 to 507 of the family's 1533-position model. The record is from RNAcentral.
GAUGAACGCUGGCGGCGUGCCUAAUACAUGCAAGUCGAGCGAACAGACGAGGAGCUUGCUCCUCUGACGUUAUCGGCGGACGGGUGAGUAACACGUGGAUAACCUACCUAUAAGACUGGGAUAACUUCGGGAAACCGGAGCUAAUACCGGAUAAUAUAUUGAACCGCAUGGUUCAAUAGUGAAAGACGGUUUUGCUGUCACUUAUAGAUGGAUCCGCGCCGCAUUAGCUAGUUGGUAAGGUAACGGCUUACCAAGGCGACGAUGCGUAGACGACCUGAGAGGGUGAUCGGCCACACGGGAACUGAGACACGGUCCAGACUCCUACGGGAGGCAGCAGUAGGGAAUCUUCCGCGAUGGGCGAGAGCUUGACGGAGCAACGCCGCGUGAGUGAUGAAGGUCUUCGGAUCGUAAAGCUCUGUUAUUAGGGAAGAACAAAUGUGUAAGUAACUAUGCACGUCUUGACGGUACCUAAUCAGAAAGCCACGGCUAACUACGUG